Molecule: long non-coding RNA, 522 nt
Organism: Ananas comosus (pineapple)
Lineage: Eukaryota; Viridiplantae; Streptophyta; Magnoliopsida; Poales; Bromeliaceae
Exons: 3
Source: RefSeq, a predicted model, not a curated record
UGAGGAAAAAAAAAAAAAAAAAAAAAUCUUUUGAGUUGGUGGAUAAGUACCUCACCAACUCCCUCCUGAUACUUAUCAACUCAACCCAUUGAAAACUAAUUAGCCUUCUCUCUCUAUCCCUCCUUAAUUUAGCUCGUGGGCAAGGUGGAGAGCUCGAGCUCGGGUGGAGUUGCCGUGGAGCUCGGAUCGACGUCGACGUCGCGCCACGGAGCCGUCCGAGCAUACGUGCGUCGCCGUAGUUUAGCGAGGAGGCCGGGCGAGGGAGUGUUUUCGUCGUUCUCGACGCCGUGUCGGAAUUGGAGUCGCUGGUUGAGGUGGGUAAUCUCUCAUUCCUCUAUGGAUUUCUUCUCUACUUCAAGACGAAGCUUCAGGACCCUUGUUUGCUGAAUUUGGAUAAGCAGGAGAACCGGGGACUUCGACGGACCAGCGAGGGAUCAUUUUGGAUCCGGGCCACUUUCUUCGCUGCCAGGAGUUGCUUGAGAGAGCCACAGGUUCCGGCUGCUGCACCGUCUGCGGAUCAGG